Long non-coding RNA from Arabidopsis lyrata subsp. lyrata, 493 nucleotides. RefSeq lists it as uncharacterized. NCBI's taxonomy places the organism in Eukaryota, Viridiplantae, Streptophyta, Magnoliopsida, Brassicales, Brassicaceae. The record is from RefSeq and is a predicted model, not a curated record. The transcript has 3 exons.
UCUCGAUUCCGAUAUCAGAUCGGCGUCUCCUUUCGAUUUCGCUUUCUAUCGGUGCGUCUCCGUCUCCGUCUGUGUUUUAUUUCGAUCUGUCCCACAUCGAUUCCAGAUGUCUAACAAUGACUCAUUGGAUGUGCUUAACCUACCGCCCCGUAUAUAUAAUCCCGGGUUUGAACCAAACAUUGGAGCUGUUGUUAUUCAACAUUUCGAAACGCAUUUGGUCAAAAAAGUUGAGCUCGCACUAGGGGAGGAACAGUUUAAUCUAAUUAAAGCCUCUUUCCUUGGUCCUAUUAUUGAACUAGCAAAAAGAAGUGGAGUUAAUUUUUCGGGGAAGAUUUUCCACUUCUUGAUGCAGCGAAGGUUGCUUUUAAAGGAGAAGAAUCUCUGGUUCACAUUUGACUCCCAGCCAAUGCGAUUCUCAGAGAGAGAAUUCUUGCUUACCACAGGUAUAUCUAAAUUAGUUUUGUUUUGUAAGUUUUUAAUCAAUUUACAAUGU